Molecule: long non-coding RNA, 3550 nt
Organism: Homarus americanus (American lobster)
Lineage: Eukaryota; Metazoa; Arthropoda; Malacostraca; Decapoda; Nephropidae
Exons: 4
Source: RefSeq, a predicted model, not a curated record
ACAGUAAUCAUAUAAAAGUGGACAUUUAUGUAAAUGUUUGUGUCUAAAGUCACUUCCCAUUGGCGUCGGCGGUACGGGACCUCUCAAAACUGCGGCCAAGAUUCACGUUUUCCAUCCCAUACCCAAUUUUGAAUGUGUGUUUAUUUCGUGUUUUUUUAAGUACAGUACAGUAUAUUAAUAACUUUAAGCUUCGUUUUCAAAACAUAAUGUCAUUGUUUAUUAAUUGUGAUUCUUUACAAAUGCUGUAGUACAACUUUUUAUACCUUUUUCUGCUUGUAUGUUUCAAUUCAGUUCAUGAAACUUUUAUUUGCAUAGUUUUGAAGAAGACUACAGUACCUAGUACUUAUAUUGAAUGUUUGCAUAUCAACAGUGCAGUACUUUAUCUUAAGUAAUAUUUUCAGGUACUUUCUCCAUCACUGCCUAAAGUGGACCUGAUGUGAACUAGAAUGAAGUUGGCUGGAUAUAAAGUUAACUGGACCUGAAGCUAACUGGACCUGAAGCUAACUGGACCUCAAGUAGUCUGUGAAGAAGUCGCCUCGGGCAACGGCAGCGGAAGCGCGAUCCGGGAGACGGACACGAAGAACGACCGUGGAUCGCCGCUCCGGAGACGGGUCGGCGAGUGCCGCUCUCCGACGUAAGACGAUCGUCGAGAAUAUCUCACGGGUCGGAGUCGCCCGACGGGAGUCGGAAACGUCAUUUCUGUGCGGACCGGCGACUCGACGGAAUCCGGCCGAGGACGCCGCUCGAAACGCGGGAGUCGCGGUUGCGGACGAGAGCGCCGACACGAGUCCGAGACGGAUCGUACGGUCGGCACGUCGGAGCGGUUUGGAUGAAGACAUUCGGGAACUGAGGACGAAGACGCUCGUCGAUCGCGGACGAAGACGCCGGUCGACGCGCGAGGAAGAUGCUCCGGAACACGGGAAGAAUACCACACUCGCGAUUGCGGGAAGAUACUCGUCAACUCAGAAGAGGAUGCGCAUCACUAUUGUAUAGCGACGGUUUUAAAGACGAUGUAAUGUGUAAAAUGAAUGCAUGUGUUGUUUGUAACGAUUGUUAUAAUGUUUGUAGUAUCGUUUUUAGAGACCGACUCCGCGAAGACGGAGGAAGUCGAUACGUGUCGAGAAUGAAUUUAUUGAAGAUGAUCAUCGUAGACAUGUUGCAAAUAGAUUGUAAAAAGUCACGCGUGGAGGGACAAACUCCGUAAAUAACGGCAGCGUAAAUACGAGACGACUCGGCGGCGGGGACGCGCGCCUCUCGAAAGUAAAAGAACGGGGGAGAUUGGACCGACAUAGACGGUGUUGUUGAGGUAACUGAUAAGAAUGGAGAAAUGAUGACUAUUUGGUGGGGUUUUUUUAGGACAGAGAGAGUAGUUAUAUAUUAGUAAAGAUAUAAAGUAAAAGGGGAUAAGGACGGCGGUGGGGUACAAGGAACGACACACUCUGUAGGGCAUUAAAGGAAUUGACGUGCGACUACCGAGUCGGCGUAAUUGUGAAAAAGAGAUGCGAGGGGGAUUUUGAAGAGAAGAAGAAGAAGUCGCGUGGUAGAGGAAUUGCGGGGAAAUUGGCGGAAGCGACGAUCGGUUACGGGAGAGGAUUUAACGAAUAACAUUUCGAUGCGGGACGGGAGACGACGAAUUUAGGGAAUGCCGGUUUAGGAUAGGGUCGUACGUAAAGCGGAGGGUGCGGGCGUCUGCGGAUACGGACGACGGAGAAUAGACGGGAAUGUGCAUCGAGACGAGGCGGUGGAGAAACGAAAGUGUCGGAGGUACCGCAGGGAAGUAUACCCGCGAGAUGUGUAAAGAAUGGUUUGGAAGUAGAGUUAGGUGAGAGUCAUGUGUUUGAAAUGGCGGGAAGGUUUGACAGGUGUAUUGGUUUUACGUAAUUGUGGCAGUCGGUUUGAGAGCGGGCAGCUGUGGAAUGCGCGCGGGUACCUAUUUUGAGACCGCGACAUCUACCGGUAAGGAAAUAUGCGAUGCAGCAGUAAUAUAUUUUUGGUUAAUAGUAGUUUCAUUUAUUUGGCAAGAAUUUUUACUCGUUCACCUGUACUCCGUGUUGCUCCACUCGUGUUAAGGCGUUUAUUGUGAAGGCGUCUGUAUAAUAAUAAAAUUUGGAGGACGAGUAGGAUAAGUGGAAGGGGAAGGAAUACGAGCACAAUGUUGAAUGUGUAAGCCCUCCCUUUUUUUGUCUUUUCCCUCUGCCUCCCUGUCCUCCUCCUCCUCUUCCUCCUGCUCCUCCUCUUUUGAUGUGUUCCUCGUUUCUUUGUUCGUCGAGUGGUUUCUUCUCCCUCCGUUUCAUUGUGACUCCCUUCGUCUUUCUCCCCUGUACCUGCUUCUGUCCCUCCUCUUCUUCCUGUUUCCUUCUUUUACUCCUCCUCUUUGUUCCCCCCCCCCUCCUCCUCCUCUUCGCCUUAUGUCUUCCUCGUUUCCAUGUUUAUUCUUUUGCUUGUUGUUCCUCUGUUCCUCCUCCUCCUCCUCCUCCUCUGUUUGAUUGUGAUUCCCUUUUUGUUUCUCACCCUCCCAUUCCUCUUGAUCCUGUUUGUUUUUUGUUGCUUUCUUUUCCUUUGUUGGUUGUUUUUGUGUCCCUGUAUACGUUUGUUGUUACCAAUUGAAUUUGUGGUUGUAUUACUGCUGCUGUGUGUAUGUUGGAUUGUAUUUAUUUGUGUUGUUAUAAAUAUGUUGUGAGUGUGAAUUAGAUAUAUUGUGUUGAUAUUUGACUAAAUUUUGUUGUUAAGAAGAGGAGGAGUUCUAUUUAGAUUUGGAAAGUAAUUGUCAUCGAGGACGAGAAUGCACGUACCGUCUGUAGUUUGAAUAUGCGGUCGCGUCGGGUUUGGGCAGUUAUAUAUCGGGAAAUAGUUGAAUUUUGUAAGUUAAUGUUGUGGACUUGUGAAAUUGAUGAGCAUGAAAUUGUUUAUUGUGGAAUAGUUAUUGGUUUUAAUUUGAAGGGUGUCAAUUGCGCACCGGGAAUAUUUUGUCGGGACUUUCGCGUCGUCGGAAUCGACCGGAACGGCCGCAAUAAAUUGCGGGUGUCGCGGAGUUAUUUUUUGUCGUCGUAGAUCCGUCCGUGGAGUCGUAAAAAAUGUGGCGUCGUCGACGAAAGUCAAUCGUCUGCGGAUCGGUCGUCUUGGAAUCGACGGAAGUUAAGCGCUGACUUGCAAUACAGUUUUGACGUGCAAUUCGUCGCGUCCGUUUUAUUGCAGUCGAGUUACGUGUAGACUUGUAUAUGUUUGUUUGUAAUUGAUUGAAGUUAUUUGUAGUGUGAAAAAUGUUUUGAGUUGUUGUUGUUGUUGUUUGAUUAUAGUAUAGUCAUUUGUGCAGUUUGAAUCUAUUUUGGUUUGUGGAUUUGGAAAAUGUGUUGCAUGUAUGUGGAAUUUGAAUAAGUGAGAUAUUUUGUGGAUUUUGUAUAUUUUUCAUGUUCGUGGACCGAAAUGUCGUACAGGUCGUACCUCUCUAGUCGGGCAACCUCGGGACCGGAACGGUGCCGUAUCAUGGAAAUUCACCCUUUUCCUGGAUAGAUAGUGACUUGUGCUUAUGCUUGGAAGCACUAGCACCAGU